Molecule: ribosomal RNA, 253 nt
Filed under: uncultured bacterium
Lineage: Bacteria
Description: partial 16S ribosomal RNA
Rfam family: Bacterial small subunit ribosomal RNA
Source: RNAcentral
UACGUAGGUGACCAGCGUUGUCCGGAUUUACUGGGCGUAAAGAGCGCGCAGGCGGUCGUUCAAGUCGAGUGUGAAAGCCCCCGGCUCAACUGGGGAGGGUCAUUCGAUACUGAUCGACUGGAAGGCAGGAGAGGGAAGCGGAAUUCCCGGUGUAGUGGUGAAAUUCGUAGAUAUCGGGAGGAACACCGGUGGCGAAGGCGGCGACCUGGGUUGACAUUGACGCUGAGGCGCGAAAGCGUGGGGAGCAAACAGG